This 253-nucleotide ribosomal RNA is filed under the name uncultured bacterium. RNAcentral describes it as "partial 16S ribosomal RNA". It matches the Rfam family "Bacterial small subunit ribosomal RNA", at positions 524 to 776 of the family's 1533-position model. The record is from RNAcentral.
UACGUAGGGUGCGAGCGUUGUCCGGAAUUAUUGGGCGUAAAGGGCUCGUAGGUGGCCAACUAAGUCAGACGUGAAAUCCCUCAGCUUAACUGGGGAACUGCGUCUGAUACUGGAUGGCUUGAGUUUGGGAGAGGGAUGCGGAAUUCCAGGUGUAGCGGUGAAAUGCGUAGAUAUCUGGAGGAACACCGGUGGCGAAGGCGGCAUCCUGGACCAACACUGACACUGAUGAGCGAAAGCCAGGGGAGCAAACGGG